RNAcentral lists this ribosomal RNA (840 nucleotides) under uncultured archaeon. Its description in RNAcentral is "bacterial SSU rRNA". It matches the Rfam family "Archaeal small subunit ribosomal RNA", at positions 84 to 922 of the family's 1478-position model. The record is from RNAcentral.
UACUGCUCAGUAACACGUGGCCCAAACUACCCUACAGACCGCAAUAACCUCGGGAAACUGAGGCCAAUAGCGGAUAUAACUCUCAUGCUGGAGUGCAGAGAGUUAGAAACGUUCCGGCGCUGUAGGAUGUGGCUGCGGCCGAUUAGGUAGAUGGUGGGGUAACGGCCCACCAUGCCGAUAAUCGGUACAGGUUGUGAGAGCAAGAGCCUGGAGACGGUAUCUGAGACAAGAUACCGGGCCCUACGGGGCGCAGCAGGCGCGAAACCUUUACACUGCACGACAGUGCGAUAGGGGGACUCCGAGUGUGAGGGCAUAUAGCCCUCGCUUUUCUGUACCGUAAGGUGGUACAGGAACAAGGACUGGGCAAGACCGGUGCCAGCCGCCGCGGUAAUACCGGCAGUCCGAGUGAUGGCCGAUAUUAUUGGGCCUAAAGCGUCCGUAGCUUGCUGUGUAAGUCCAUUGGGAAAUCGACCAGCUCAACUGGUCGGCGUCCGGUGGAAACUACACAGCUUGGGGCCGAGAGACUCAACGGGUACGUCCGGGGUAGGAGUGAAAUCCUGUAAUCCUGGACGGACCACCAAUGGGGAAACCACGUUGAGAGACCGGACCCGACAGUGAGGGACGAAAGCCAGGGUCUCGAACCGGAUUAGAUACCCGGGUAGUCCUGGCUGUAAACAAUGCUCGCUAGGCAUGUCACGCGCCAUGAGCACGUGAUGUGCCGUAGUGAAGACGAUAAGCGAGCCGCCUGGGAAGUACGUCCGCAAGGAUGAAACUUAAAGGAAUUGGCGGGGGAGCACCACAACCGGAGGAGCCUGCGGUUUAAUUGGACUCAACGCCGGG